GGAAAGAUGACAGAGUGGCCGAUUGUGCACGCCUGGAAAGCGUGUGAUGUGCAAGCAUCCGGGGGUUCGAAUCCCCCUCUUUCCG
Molecule: transfer RNA, 85 nt
Filed under: Balneicella halophila
Lineage: Bacteria; Pseudomonadati; Bacteroidota; Bacteroidia; Bacteroidales; Balneicellaceae
Rfam family: tRNA
About the family: Transfer RNA (tRNA) molecules are approximately 80 nucleotides in length. Their secondary structure includes four short double-helical elements and three loops (D, anti-codon, and T loops).
Source: Rfam by way of RNAcentral